Molecule: non-coding RNA, 1562 nt
Organism: Salmo salar (Atlantic salmon)
Lineage: Eukaryota; Metazoa; Chordata; Actinopteri; Salmoniformes; Salmonidae
Source: RefSeq, a predicted model, not a curated record
CACCACCCUAAAUAAAAUAUGCUACUACAUCAGCCCCUCUCCUUUCACCUCAGAGCUUCAUCCAGGAGACACUCAUAUCUCUCCUCCACUGAGGAAACAUCAUCAUCAUCAUCAUGUCAGUUUUUCAUCUUUUUGAGUCUGUCAUCAUGAUCAGAUGUUUCCUGACAUUCACCAUCUCAUUGUUCUGGCUGACAGGAAGUUCUCUGGGCAGUAAAGUCCUCCAGGUUCCCUCAGCUCUAUUGGAAAGUCCCAAUGUUACAGUGAUACUCAAAUGCAGCCAUACUAUUAGUUCCUACUAUACUAUAUUGUGGUACCAGCAGUCAAUAGCUGAUUCUAAUCUGAAACUGAUUGGAUUUGUGUUUUAUAAGAAUCCAACAGUUGCAGAUCAAUAUAAAGAGCACUUUGAAAUCCGUGGAGAUGGAGAGAUAGAAGCAUCCCUUCAGCUUCUGUCAGGCCCUGAAAACAGUGCAGUGUAUUAUUGUGCAGCCAGCAAAACACAGUGAUGUAGUUACCCUCCUUUUCCCUACAAAAACCCUCUGAUCCUUCACUCCUUAACUGUAGUGUACAUCAACACCCAGCACACCUGCUAUAAACCACUAUAGAUGUCCUGGGCACAUUAACACCCAGCACACCUGCUAUAAACCAUUAUAGAUGUUCUGGGCACAUCAAGAAAGUUGUUAUUAAAUCUUGAUCGUACCCAAUAAUGUGUUUGAAGUUGUUGCUUUAAGAAGCGGUUUGGGUUUUUCUUAUCAAAUUUCAGCAUAUUUCUAGUCUUAUUAGUGUAGAAUAGAAAAUAUUUAAUCUUUAAAACUAAAGACUAGUGCUCACCAUGACUUAGUUACCGGUUUGUUCCACAAUAUACCUUUAAGUUGAACAGGAGACCUUUAGGAGACCAAUGCAUCUGUUUGAAAAUCAACGUACAUAUUAAUGUCAUGUCCUUCCCCUCCGGCAGCUCAGUUCUGCUCAUCUCUAUUGAGUUAUUUACUUUUCACCCCUAUACUUUGGUCAAAAGUAGUGCACUAUAUAGGGAAUAGAGUGCCAUAGGGCUCUGGUCAAAAGAAGUGCACUAUAUAGGGAAUAGGGUGCCAUAUGGCUCUGGUCAAAAGUAGUGCACUAUAUAGGGAAUAGGGUGCCAUUUGGGAUGCAAACAAUAUAUUUGACACUCCCACUAGAUGACAUCACAUCUCUGACUAUCUGAAAUCCCUUUCUCCUUGUUCAUGUGAUAUUUCUCUCCAGAACCAUCAACAUGAUCAAGCUUCUCAUACAUGUUGCAACUCUACCACUGACUGUCACAAACAGACAAAGUCCAGCAGACUCCUACUGCAAUACUAAAAGGACCUGAAGAUAACGUUCAACUGAACUGCAGCCAUACUAUUCCAAGCUACAACAUUAUACUGUGGUACCAGCAGUCAGCACAAAACACUGCUCUGAAACUCAUUGGGUAUGUGCUACUCACCAGUCCUACCGUGGAAGAUUCCUUUAAAGAGCGUUUUACUGUGAGUGGAGAUGCUGCAACUGGGAAAAUGGCAUAUCUACAUAUUCCUAAACUGAGAGGAACUGAA